RNAcentral lists this transfer RNA (82 nucleotides) under bacterium. RNAcentral describes it as "tRNA-Leu". It matches the Rfam family "tRNA". From Rfam's summary of the family: Transfer RNA (tRNA) molecules are approximately 80 nucleotides in length. Their secondary structure includes four short double-helical elements and three loops (D, anti-codon, and T loops). RNAcentral also lists the same sequence under 2 other names. The record is from RNAcentral.
GCCGGGAUGGUGAAAUUGGUAGACACGCUUGACUUAGGAUCAAGUGCCGCAAGGUGUGCAGGUUCGAGUCCUGUUCCCGGUA